GUGGGGAAUAUUGCACAAUGGGCGCAAGCCUGAUGCAGCAACGCCGCGUGAGGGACGACGGCCUUCGGGUUGUAAACCUCUUUUAGCAGGGAAGAAGCGAAAGUGACGGUACCUGCAGAAAAAGCACCGGCUAACUACGUGCCAGCAGCCGCGGUAAUACGUAGGGUGCAAGCGUUGUCCGGAAUUAUUGGGCGUAAAGAGCUCGUAGGCGGUUUGUCGCGUCUGCUGUGAAAACCCGAGGCUCAACCUCGGGCCUGCAGUGGGUACGGGCAGACUAGAGUGCGGUAGGGGAGAUUGGAAUUCCUGGUGUAGCGGUGGAAUGCGCAGAUAUCAGGAGGAACACCGAUGGCGAAGGCAGAUCUCUGGGCCGUAACUGACGCUGAGGAGCGAAAGCGUGGGGAGCGAACAGGAUUAGAAACCCCAGUAGUCC
RNAcentral lists this ribosomal RNA (430 nucleotides) under uncultured bacterium. RNAcentral describes it as "partial 16S ribosomal RNA". It matches the Rfam family "Bacterial small subunit ribosomal RNA", at positions 354 to 796 of the family's 1533-position model. The record is from RNAcentral.